This 221-nucleotide long non-coding RNA is filed under the name Hordeum vulgare. RNAcentral's name for it is "long non-coding RNA (HVUL_LNC000589)". The record is from RNAcentral. Lineage: Eukaryota; Viridiplantae; Streptophyta; Magnoliopsida; Poales; Poaceae.
UUCCUCCUCCGACCGGUCGUCCGGAUCCAGCAAACCGGUGAAGCCGGCUGCCACGCACGCGAUGUCCGCGACGGCGUCCAUGGACCUGCUCUAGCCACUUGCCGCGACAUGCCACCAGCAGAUGGACUGUAUGGCGCUGCAAACUAGUUCAGCUCCUCAUCGUCGUUGUCCUCCUCGGACCAGGAGCUCAUGCGAGCGCUCGAACCUUUUAUCAGGAGUGC